Molecule: small nucleolar RNA, 128 nt
Filed under: Microtus ochrogaster (prairie vole)
Lineage: Eukaryota; Metazoa; Chordata; Mammalia; Rodentia; Cricetidae
Description: Small nucleolar RNA SNORA77 (ENSMOCG00000010404.1)
Rfam family: Small nucleolar RNA SNORA77
About the family: ACA63 (SNORA77) is a member of the H/ACA class of snoRNAs that guide the sites of modification of uridines to pseudouridines. This snoRNA was identified by computational screening and its expression in mouse experimentally verified by Northern blot and primer extension analysis. ACA63 is proposed to guide the pseudouridylation of 18S rRNA U814.
Source: Rfam by way of RNAcentral
GUAGAUUCAUUCUGCACCUGGCUGCAGCUCCUGUCUGGUACUUUUUUCUGUCUAUUUAGAGAAAUAUUCUGGGGUGCUAUGGCUGCCUCUGUCUAUCAGGAGCAAUGUAGCUUCCUGGGGACACAGUG